This 6657-nucleotide long non-coding RNA is filed under the name Homo sapiens (human). RNAcentral's name for it is "ERRFI1 divergent transcript (ERRFI1-DT)". Lineage: Eukaryota; Metazoa; Chordata; Mammalia; Primates; Hominidae. The record is from RNAcentral.
GUCUCCCGGAGAGGCGUCUCCGGGCUGACCGCGGCCGCAGCUCCGCUCCUCUGCCUGAGCCGUGCGGCAGCCCUGGGAGCCUCUCAACGCCGAGCUUUCCUCAGAAGCCCGCGGCGACCCGGGCCUCGGCCGCUGUUCCUGCCCGAACUGAGGGCACAUCGCGCUUCGCGCGGGAUUUCCCAUAAAUUCAGGCUCCGGGCAAGAUUGUGUGUUUUUUCCUCUCCGCGGGCCGCCGCUGGCCGUGUGGGCCGAAGAAGCCCUGGAGGGGGAGAGGGGAGCCGCUCUCGACUGGGCUUGCGGCGUGGGAGGGACAGUGAGGGACACUUAGGGACUGUGUGGGGCAGUGAAGGAUAGUGUGGGAUGAUGAGGGACCGUGUGGACCGGUGAGCGACUGUGUGGGACAGUGCGGGACGAUGAGAGACGGUGUGGGACGGUGAGGGACAGUGCGGGACGAUGAGGGACAGUGAGGGACUGUGUAGGACAGUGAGGGACAGUGUGGGACGGUGAGGGACUGUGGGACAGUGAGGGACUUUGGGACUGUGAGGGACUCGGACAGUGAAGGAUGGCAAGGGACAGUGUGGGACAGUAUGGGACAGUGGACAGUGAGGCACUGUGAGGGGCGGUGAGGGACAAUGAAGGAUGUCAAGGGACAGUGUGGGACAGUGGACGGUGAGGUACUGUGAGGGGCGGUGAGGGACAGUGUGGGACUGUGAGGGAUGGCGAGGGACAGAGUAGGACAGCAAGGGAGGAUGAGGGGACAGAGUGGGCCGGCGUGGGGCGGUGAGGCUACGCGGGGGGAACCCAGGGCUCCUCUGACUGCGUUGGAAUAUGGAGGAAAGGUCCUGCUCGAGGUUGAGCCCUUCAGGGUCGCUGUGGGUUUCCAGGAGGAGCUCCCUCACUACUGACUUAGGGGGCCCUCGGCUUCCCAGUGUAAGAAGAAGCUGUCUUUGGAGUGAGAACAAGGGUGAGGUUCUGGCUCAGAAACCUUAGAAUCACAGACACUGUUUUCCUGAAAACAUUGCUUCUUUCUCUCAUCUCAAAGAAAUGCCACAAGUCGUGUGUUUCCCCACUGCGAGCCCUUCGAGAACAAUGUCAUGUUGAUCGAUGGCAGUGACUCACACCAGAUCUUUCCAUGCCUCCUCUGCAAGGACUCAAGAGAGUCGAGAGCAAAACCGUGCCAUAGUUCCAUAAGGAGGGCAAAGAGCUUUAUCCACGCUGAGGAACAGGCGGAUCAUGCGGCUACAGCACUGGUCUUUACCUUUUAACUGCUUGAUUCGAAACAUUCCAGCCAGGAACAGUGGCUCACACCUGUAAUCCCAGCACUUUGUGGGGCCAAGGCAGGUGGAUUGCUCGAGCUCAGGAGUUCGAAACCAGCCUGGGCAACCUGGCAAAACCUCAUCUCUACAAAAAAAUACAAAAAUUAGCCAGGCCUGGUGUGUGUGCCUGUGGUUCCAGCCACUCGGCAGGCUGCGGCCAGAGGAUCACUUGAGCCCAGGAAGUGGAGGCUGCAGUGAGCUGAGAUCGUGCCGCCACACUCCAGCCUGGGUGACAGAGCCAGACAUUGUCUCUAAAAAAAAAAAAAAAAGAAAAGAAAAGAAAGAAAAAAGAGAAAUAGUCCAAGACUAGGGAGAAAACCUUCUUUGGGGUCAGUGUGAACCAUUCUUUCAUUUGUUCAGCAAAUGCUUACUGAGGAGCUACUGUGUCCCUGAAAUUGCCUCCACCUCCAAGAAGACAGUGGUGAGCAAGUCAGACAAUACCUCUAAUCUCAUGGUAUUUAUAAGUAAAUGGGCCGUUAAAAUUACCAGAUCAGAAGUGCUGUGUUCAGCAAAUAGAGGCUCAUGGGAAACUCCUAAGAAGGGCUUCUGAGCUGGACUUGGGGGUCAGGAAAGGCAGAAUGAGGGGGCUGACUCAUCCAGACUGGGGCGGGGUUGCCGGGGGUGCCUCCCACUUACUAUCUGUCUCCUUCUAGACUGACUUCUCUGUCAUCAUGAAUACACCCCUUUAAGACAUACAUUUAAGAGAAAAUAAGAGGAUGCCUUAUUUAUUUAAAGGUUUGUUACAGUUUUACUAACAACCACAUACCUAAAGGAAAGUCGCAAGUAGAGCUCAAAAACUUUUUUCUCUGGGGCAGUGAAGAGUCAGUUGCCAGCCAGAAGGCCCACUGAGCCUGAGCACUUCAGGGUGUGCUUCCUACAGAUAAGGACAUCCUCCUGCAUAACAGGAAAGGGGUCCUGAUCCAGACCCCAAGAGAGGGUUCUUGGAUCUCGCACAAGAAAGAAUUCCGGGUGAGUCUGUAAAGCGAAAGCCAGUUUAUUAAGUAAAGGAGUAAAAGAAUGGCUAUUCCAUAGACAGAGCAGCCCUGAGGGCUGCUGAUUGCCCAGUUUUAUGGCUGUUUCUUGAUGAUAUGCUAAACAAGGGGUGGAUUACUCAUGCCUCCCCCUUUUAGACCGUAGAGGGCAAGUCCUGAUGUUGCCAUGGCGUUUGUAAACUGUCAUGGAGCUGGUGGGAGUGAAGCAGUGAGGAUGACCAGAGGUCACUCUCGGCACCAUCUUGGUUUUUGGUGGGUUUUAGCCAGCUUCUUUACUGCAACCUGUUUUUUCAGCAAUAUCUUUAUGACCUGUAUCUUGUGCCGACCUCCUAUCUCAUCCUGUAAAUUAGAAUGCCAUUACCAUCUGGGAAUGCAGCCCAGUAGGUCUCAGCCUUAUUUUACUCAGCUCCUAUUUAAGAUGGAGUCGCUCUGGUUCGAACGGCUCUGAUAUAACUGCUGCUCAGCCAUUGACGUCGGGAAGGUAGCACAGGCUCAUUGCCACCACUGAACCCUCAGACCCCACCCAAGUGUUGCCAGUUGUUCCAAUAAUGUCCUUUAUGGUGAAAGGACCAGAUCCAUGGUCACAUAUUGCAUUGAAUUGUCACGUCUUCUUCUUUAGUCUUCCCUCGACCUACAUGACCUUGCCAUUUUUGGAGAUAAUAGUUUAACAGUCCAGUGGGUUCACCUUGCCCGCUGCCUAGACAGAGCUGGUUGAUCAUGACAGGGGAGUUGCAAUGGACAAUGGAGAAAGCGUAAUUCACACAGAGUCGACUGUGUGGGAGACCAGAGUUUUGUUAAUACUCAAAUCAGUCUCCCUGAGCAUUUGGCGAUUAAAGUUUUUAAAGAUAAUUUGGUGGGUAGGGGCUUGGGAAGUGGAGAGUGCAAUGGAGAUGGAAUCACAGGGGGUCGAAGUGAGUUUUUCUUGCUGUUUUCUGUUCUUGGGUGGGAUGGCAGAACUGGUUGAGCCAGAUUACUGGUCUGGGUGGUGGUAGCUGGUCCACUGAGUGCAGGGUUUGCAAAAUAUCUCAAGCACUGAUCUUAGGUCUUACAAUAGUGAUGUUAUUGCCAGGAGCAAUUUGGGGAGGUUCAGACUCUUGGAGUCAGAGGCUGCAUGACCCCUAAACUGUAAUUUCUUGUUUUGUUUGUUUGUUUUGUUAUUGUUGUUUGGUUUUUUUUGAGACGGAGUUUCACUCUUGUUGCCCAGGCUGGAGUGCAAUGGCAUGAUCUCAGCUCACCGCAACCUCCACCUCCCAGGUUCAAGCAAUUCUCCUGCCUCAGCCUCCCAAGUAACUGAGAUUACAGGCAUGUGCCACCACGCCCGGCUAAUUUUGUAUUUUUAGUAGAGAUGGGGUUUCUCCAUGUUGGUCAGGCUGGUCUUGAACUCCUGACCUCAGGUGAUCUGCCUGCCUUGGCCUCCCAACGUGCUGGGAUUACAGGCAUGAGCCACUGCGCCUGGCCAGUAAUUUCUAAUCUUGUAGCUAAUUUGUUAGUCCUGCAAAGGCUGAGUGGUCCCAGGCAAGAAGGGGGUCUUUUUGGGAAAGGGGUUUUAUCAAUUUUGUUUCAGAGUCCAACCACGAAUUGAAUUCCUUCCCAAAGUUAGUUUGGCCUAUGCCCAGGGAUGAACAAGGACAGCUUAAAGGUUAGAAGCAAGAUGGAGUUGGUUAGAUCUGAUUUCUUCCAGUGUCAUAAUUUCCUGAGUUAUAAUUUUGCAAAGGUGGUUUCAAUAGGACACUUGCUUUGUAGCCUGCACUUUGGUUUUCAUUUCUCUGAUGUGCCCUCACGGUUAGGGCCAAGUGAUGCAUCUUUAGUGGGAAUAGCUCAGGAGUAGUGCGGUCUUCUUAUUGUAUUAUAACACAUGCGGUGGCAUUUGUUGGCUCAGCUUCUACACUGUAAAGUUGCUCUUUUUGCCUCUUAAUGAAUAUGUAUCUUGAGGGAGAUACUAAAAAAAAUCCCUUUCCUCAUCAAAUUCUGCAUGUGUUCAGUAUGGAUUCAUGGCUUUCUAUUUUAUCCACUAGGUUAUAAUCUGUUGCCAUCUUUAUUUUAAUACUCAAAUUCUCCCAUAUUCAGUGACCACCUCAAGCUGACUUCUGUAUCCUUUUGACACAUCUCAGUCAUUCUUUGAGCACUUCCUUUUUUGCUGAGAUGGGUACAUGUUCUAGGCCCACCCUGUGCUUCCCCUGUCUAGUCUGGAAUCAGCCGUUUCUCAAAGGAGCUUUUGGUGGAGAAUGGUGUUUAGAAACCAAGAUCUGGAUAGCAGGUGUGCUCGCUGUGAUUGGGCUAUUGCUGCUCCCAAUCCUCUAGAUAGCCAGAACAACAACAUAAAAACAUGUAUGUUUGGCUGGGCACGGUGGCCGAUGCCUGUAAUCCCAGCACUUUGGGAGGUUGAGGUGGGUGGAUCACCUCAGGUCAGUUUGAGACCAGGCUGACCAACAUGGUGAAACCUUGUCUCUACUAAAAAUACAAAAAAAUCAGCAGGGUGUGGUGGUGCAUGCCUGUAAUCCCAGCUACUUGGGAGGCUGAGGCAAGAGAAUCGCUUGAACCCGGGAGGUGGAGGUUGCAGUGAGCCAAGAUCAUGCCACUGCACUCCAGCCUGGGCGACAGAGUGAGACUCUGUCCCCGAAAAAAAAAAGAAAAGUAUGUUUAUUUCUGUAUGUUUUUACUCACACCAAAAUACCUUCAAUUCCAGCCCAGUACCACAGGACUUAUUCUAGUUUUCUCUCUUUUCAUAUUUGUAUCUCCUUUCUCUGACAGUGAGACCAUGGCUCCCAUUAUUCUAAGUAUACUGACUUAUUUGACUAAUCCCCUGUAGAUGAUCAGUCUCUCCUGCCUUCUCCCCCACCACAUGUGGACACCCUCCUCACCCUGCCUGGCCCUGACACCCCGUGCUGGGUCUUCAACAUGCACAGAGGCCCUCCUGACCCCACUCGGGCUCUGAUCUUCCACACCAGACCACCCCUUCACACGGGCCCCCUCCUCCCACAUUUGGGCUCCGAGUCCCCAGGCUGAGCUGCCCUUUACCUUGCUUGAACUCUGACACCCCAUGCCAGGUCUCGGCCUUGCGAGGACACCUUUCUCACCUUAUGCUGGAGCUCCCUGGCACAGACUGCCUUGCACUGUGCUGGACUUUGCCUGCUGCCUGGAUGCACUCCUCACCAUGCCUGGGCCCUGAAAUCCCACUGCAGGCCAUUCUCACACAUGGAUGCUUUCCCUACCCUGCUUGGGCCCUCACUCCCAUGCUGACUCCCUCUCCCCCAUUGUAUUAAUCCAUUUUCAUGCUGCUGAUAAAGAUAUACCUGAGGCCAGGCGCAGUGGCUCAUGCCUGUAAUCCCAGCACUUGGGAGGCAAAGGCGGGUGGAUCAACUGAGGUCAGGAGUUCGAGACCAGCCUGGCCAACAUGGUGAAACCCUGUCUCUACUAAAAAUACAAAAAUUAGCUGGGCAUGGUGGCAGGCGCCUGUAAUCCCAGCUACUUGGGAGGCUGAGGCAGGAGAAUUGCUUGAAACUGGGUGGCGGAGGUUGCAGUGAGCCUAGAUUGCGCCAUUGCACUCUAGUCUUGGGGACAAGAGUGAGACUUCGUCUCCAAAUAAAUAAAUAAAUAAAAAUACAUACCUGAGACUGGGCAAUUUACAAAAGAAAGAGGUUUAAUGGACUUACAGUUCCAUGUGGCUGGGGAGGCCUCACAAUCAUGGUGGAAGGUGAAAGGCAUGUCUCACAUGGUGGCAGACAAGAGAAGAGAGCUUGUGCAGCGAAACUCCCCUUUAUAAACCAGAUCUUAUGAGACUUAUUCACUAUCAUGAGAACAGCACGGGAAAGACCUGCCCUCAUGAUUCAGUUACCUCCCACCAGGUCCCUCCCACAACACGUGGGAAUUCAAGAUGAGAUUUGGUUGGGGACACAGCCAACCCAUAUCACCCAUGCCUGGAUGCCCUUCUCAUGCUUGGGUUCUGUCAUCUGCACCAGGCCUUCUGCUGCCCGUCUGUCUUACCCACCAGGACUCUGACUCUCCACGCUGGGCCACCUCUCUUCUCCAACACUGCUAUGGAUUGAAUGUUUAUGUUCUCCCCAAAUUUGCAUGUUGCAAUCCCAAUCUCCAAUGCCAUAGUAUUAGGAGGUGGGGGCCUUUGGGAGGUGAUUUGGUCAUGAAGGUGGAGUCCUCACAGCUGGGAUGAGUGUCCUUCUAUAAGAGGCUCCAGUGAGCUCCCUCGCCCCUUCCACCAUGUGGGGACACAGCGAGAAGAUGCUGUCUAUGAACCAGGAAACCGGCCCUUGCCAGACACUGAAUCUGCACUUUGAUCUUGGACUUGCAGCCUCCAGAACUGUGAGAAAUAAAUGUCUAUCGUUUAUAAGGCA